AUGAUGGACUAUAGGACAGGACUGCUGCUUUUAACUCUCUGCUGGGCAGGUGUUGAUGGUCAGACUCUGACAGAAUCUGAACCAGCGGUUAAAAGACCUGGAGAAUCCCACAGAUUGACCUGUACAACAUCUGGAUUCACACUUAGUAGCUACUGGAUAGCCUGGAUCAGACAGGCUCCUGAAAAAGGACUGGAGUGGAUUGCUACUGAUGGUGGUAGUAGCAAAUACUACUCUCAGUCAGUCCAAGGCCGGUUUACCAUCUCCAGAGACAACAGCAGAGAGCAGCUGUAUCUGCAGAUGAACAGUCUGAAGACUGAAGAUUCUGCUGUUUAUUAUUGUGCUCGAGAGCCACAGUGACUGGAGUUGGUUGAGCAGCUGUACAAAAUCCUACAGUACUCAUUCUUUCAGGCUGG
Molecule: non-coding RNA, 413 nt
Organism: Perca fluviatilis (European perch)
Lineage: Eukaryota; Metazoa; Chordata; Actinopteri; Perciformes; Percidae
Source: the annotation of a RefSeq genome assembly